GAACGCUGGCGGCAUGCCUUACACAUGCAAGUCGACCCUUAACAGGUCUUCGGAUGCUGACGAGUGGCGAACGGGUGAGUAAUACAUCGGAACGUGCCCAGUAAUGGGGGAUAUCUCGGCGAAAGCCGGAUUAAUACCGCAUACGCCCUGAGGGGGAAAGUGGGGGAUCGCAAGACCUCACGUUAUUGGAGCGGCCGAUGGCUGAUUAGCUAGUUGGUAGGGUAAAGGCCUACCAAGGCGACGAUCAGUAGCUGGUCUGAGAGGACGAUCAGCCACACUGGGACUGAGACACGGCCCAGACUCCUACGGGAGGCAGCAGUGGGGAAUUUUGGACAAUGGGGGAAACCCUGAUCCAGCAAUGCCGCGUGUGCGAAGAAGGCCUUCGGGUUGGAAAGCACUUUUGUCAGGGAAUAUUUCCUUUGGGCUAAUACCCUAGGGGGAUGACGGUACCUGAAGAAUAAGCACCGGCUAACUACGUGCCAGCAGCCGCGGUAAUACGUAGGGUGCAAGCGUUAAUCGGAAUUACUGGGCGUAAAGCGUGCGCAGGCGGUUGUGUAAGACAGGUGUGAAAUCCCCGGGCUUAACCUGAGAAUUGCGUUUGUGACUGCACGACUAGAGUGUGUCCGAGGGGGGUGGAAUUCCACGUGUAGCAGUGAAAAUGGGUAGAUAUGGGGAGGAACACCCAAUGGGCGAAGGGCGCCCCCUGGGGAUAACACUGACGCCCAUGGCCCGAAAGCGUGGGGGAGCAAACAGGAUUAGAUACCCUGGUAGUCCACGCCCUAAACGAUGUCAACUAGUUGUUGGGGGAUUUACUUCCUUGGUAACGUAGCUAACGCGUGAAGUUGACCGCCUGGGGAGUACGGCCGCAAGGUUAAAACUCAAAGGAAUUGACGGGGACCCGCACAAGCGGUGGAUGAUGUGGAUUAAUUCGAUGCAACGCGAAAAACCUUACCUACCCUUGACAUGGCAGGAACUUUCCAGAGAUGGAUUGGUGCUCGAAAGAGAACCUGCACACAGGUGCUGCAUGGCUGUCGCCAGCUCGUGUCGUGAGAUGUUGGGUUAAGUCCCGCAACGAGCGCAACCCUUGUCAUUAGUUGCUACGAAAGGGCACUCUAAUGAGACUGCCGGUGACAAACCGGAGGAAGGUGGGGAUGACGUCAAGUCCUCAUGGCCCUUAUGGGUAGGGCUUCACACGUCAUACAAUGGUCGGUACAGAGGGUUGCCAAGCCGCGAGGUGGAGCCAAUCCCAGAAAACCGAUCGUAGUCCGGAUCGCAGUCUGCAACUCGACUGCGUGAAGUCGGAAUCGCUAGUAAUCGCGGAUCAGAAUGCCGCGGUGAAUACGUUCCCGGGUCUUGUACACACCGCCCGUCACACCAUGGGAGUGGGUUCUACCAGAAGUGGCUAGUCUAACCGCAAGGAGGACGGUCACCACGGUAGGAUU
RNAcentral lists this ribosomal RNA (1442 nucleotides) under uncultured organism. Its description in RNAcentral is "SSU rRNA". It matches the Rfam family "Bacterial small subunit ribosomal RNA". The record is from RNAcentral.